AGGACGUCUUGGACCAAGUAACUGUUGCAGUGUGGGAUUUCUUCAGUAGGGGCUCGAGCAUUGCAACCUCUUUCUAGGUUAGGACCUCGUUGCUUGGAAAGCACACUUGCCUCGCGGUUAGAACUCGCCAAGUAAAUCUCCAGGUAGAGGACGAGGCAAGGGCAAAGGCAAGCUGGCGAGCGACCCGAAGUGACCGUGGCGAGCCAUAGAGACUCCUGCUUCCGCUUAUUCUUGUUUUUUUGACUUUAGUACCUGAGUUUGAGUAUUCUUCAUUACUUACCAUCUUUUUAUGUAGAUAGGGCCCGAGUAGGACUUUAGAACGCAUUUC
This is a long non-coding RNA of Cucumis melo (muskmelon), 328 nucleotides long. RefSeq lists it as uncharacterized. NCBI's taxonomy places the organism in Eukaryota, Viridiplantae, Streptophyta, Magnoliopsida, Cucurbitales, Cucurbitaceae. The transcript has 3 exons. The record is from RefSeq and is a predicted model, not a curated record.